This is a long non-coding RNA of Triticum aestivum (bread wheat), 3171 nucleotides long. RefSeq lists it as uncharacterized. NCBI's taxonomy places the organism in Eukaryota, Viridiplantae, Streptophyta, Magnoliopsida, Poales, Poaceae. The transcript is spliced from 4 exons. The record is from RefSeq and is a predicted model, not a curated record.
GCCUCCAUUACUCCGCGUGCGACCUUUAGCAGGCGCUUUCCCUGGUAUCGGAGGUCAUCUCUCCGGGCUACUUCUUGCCUCCCCAUGGACUCCACUGACUCAACGCAUGGCCGACGGCAAGGGCUUCCGUUGGCCUCCGAGGUUGUCGCCCUCCCCUGCACUGGCCCUUCCUCCCGUCGCUUCCCCUCCGACCUCCACUUAUUCUGAACGCAGCCGCCGGCGAGGGCUUCCGCUGGUCCCCAGUUCGUCAUCCCCCUGCACGACUCCGCAUGCAGCCACCGGCAAGGGCUUCCGCUGGUCCUCGAGUUCGUCACCCCCCUGUACUGACUCUUCCGCCGGCUGCAUCUCGCGUCCCCUCCAGCUUGCACGACUCCACACGCAGCCACCGGCGAGGGCUUCCGCUGGUCCCCGAGUUCGUCAUCCUCCUGUACUGACUCUUCCGCCGGCUGCAUCUCGCGUCCCCUCCGGCCAGCACGACUCCACACGCAGCCGCCGGCGAGCGAUUGCUCUACUCCCCGAGGUCAUCGGGCUAAGCGCCCUCGUUGUGCCCCCUUCAUCCCGGCCACGAAGCGCGCUCUGUUUUCGUUGGAAUCCAGAUUAUGUAAAUCGCGUUUGUGGAAAAACAAGUAAUAGUCGUUUUUCCAUAUACCUGAAAUCUGAGUUUUUGGAAAACUAAGUUUUCUGCAUACGCGGAUUAGUUGGAGUUGCCAAACAGGAUUUUAGUUUUGUUACACCGUUUUCUUGGUUUGUAGAGAUCCGGUUUUGUAUAUACUACCUAUCCAUUAACGCCUUAGACUCUGAGCUGGUACUGCAUGGCAAAAAAAUGAUGAUAGUUCCCUGCAAUUAACUCUUUUUUGCAGGGGGCGGCCAUGGGAGGGGAGGCGAAUCGGGGAGGCGAUGCUGUGCUCCGGCGCCGGAUCAAGCUGCGGGGGAGGCGGGAGCCACGCGAGGAGACGAAGGAGGAGAAAAUGAAGAGGCAUGGAGGAGAGGCGGGCGAGCGGGAAGGGCUGGGGCGUCGCCCACGACGCCGAGCUUGACGGCGGCCUUGCGAUGGUGCAGUCGGCGAGGACCUGUCGGAUCUGGCCGGAUCCGGUGGGAAAUUGCGCGCAAGCGGCGGAUCUGGAAGGAAGACGGCCGGAGCUUGGAGCACAAUGGCUGGUGGACGCGCCAUGGCCCACGCCGGCGAGAGAAGAGAGAGAUGAGUGGGAGAGAAAAGAGAGAACGGGAAGGAGAUGAGAGGCCAGAGGGAGAGAGAAGGGAGUGGUGGUCACUUCAACGGGCUGCAGCGUGGCACCGCCCCGGCCGCUGAGCCCGCCCGACCGCCCCAUCGCCGAGUCGCCACCCCCACUGACUGCCCCGUGCUCGCCCUUAGACCAAGUCGAGCCAGCGAUCGUUGCCCACAUCACCGAACCUCGCUCCCCUUCUCCACCCCAGCAAGCACACACGCUUGGAGGCGCCAAGGAGCUCGCCGGCAACACUCAGCAGACGUAGGAGAGCUGCGUGCAUGGUGCGUUUGAAUGUGCGGACGCGAGGCAGUGGAGGGCUCAGCAAGUUAACAAAUUAUAUUGCCUUGUACUACUUUUUAACAACUUGGCUCCUACGAAGACUAAUGGAAGGAUCAUUAGACCAACGUAGUCAAAUUGGCUGCUUCAAAUUUUUGGCCUUGGAGCUGAUCAGCAGCACGCGGACAUGCAUCAGGAAGCCGACGGACAGCCAGAGCAGGAAGGCGUGGAUCUUGAGCUGCAGCGACAACAACAACUUGGGCGUUGCCUGCAAAAAAAAAACAACAGUUCAAGUGCUCAAUCAAGUGUAAGUUUAAAUUCAGUCAAUUAUUGCAGUUCUACAAUGACACAUUCAGAUUCUUGCAUCCAAAGUUAGAUAGGAACAGGGAAAGAAUCUCCAACGCUUAUUUACAUGGGAAAGAACACUCUUGUAACUUUGGUUCAGAUCCUCAGUCUAUCUGAAGCACCAUAGAUUGAGUUUGCAAGCAAAAGGAUCACACAAUCUGACAUUACAAAGAGCAAUCUUUUUCUUCACAUCUUUGUUUUAGCUUGCAUCCGACAGUUGUGUGAUCCAAGAUUAGGCAACCAAAACUAAACUUAUGACUACAUGAGUGCAUGAAGAACUGUUAAUAACUCUUAUUUGACUAAUCUUUGGAUUGACUGGAGAUGAGAUUCUCUGGCUUUGGGGAUGGUCCUUUGGCGUUCUAUUGGGGUUCUAUUCAUGUGCACUAGGCACUUCUCAACACUUCAAUAAUUAUUCUAGAACCUCUUUAAAUUUGCAAUGCUCAUCAGAUUGUACAGGUUUUGCAGUCAACUAUUCAGAUUAUUGACUAGGGACGAUAUUUUCAGUCCUACUGAGUCUGCAAAGGAUGCGCCAAGCCAAGAUUAAUUAUGGUUUUUGUAAAUUGCAUCGGUUUACUUAUGUACCUGCUCCUUAGAUGGUUGUGAAUUUGUGAUUCAGUCGUGGAAAUUUUGGUGCUUUCUUCGAGUGUCCUGAAAAAUGGUUCAACGCGUGUUUGCCAGAAACUGUAGAUUAGCAAGACUAACGAGUGUUGAGCAUGUCAAUCUAUGUGUGGGCACGAGUGAAAAUGUAAAUCAUGUUAGAGACGAGUUUCUGGAAAAAGUCCCGGAGACGCGCUGCUGCUGUUGCUGCUCUUGGUAGCCAAAGUGGAGGCUGCAGUUCUAAGACUUCAAGGAGGACAGGAAUACAUGGUUGCUUCUUGGAAAGAUAAAAAUUGUUAUUGGUCACUCAAUCCUAAGCUGUUGUGGAUUAAUUUGAUUUGAAUUGGAUUGUACUCCAAGAGUCCACAAGAUGUCAUUUCCGAAUGUGGUACUAAUUUCAGAACAUAGCACCAUUUUCUAAAAAUAAGGCUGGGCAACAUGAGCCAACCACAUGGAUGUUUCAAGAGGAAUAAACUCACUGUAGCUGCCGAAUUGGUAUUAGUAAGUUGCUGUUCCAACUUCCUAGAGAACCACAGGUUUUUUUUUUACUAUUAUUAGCUGCAGCACAUGGCGACAAUGACGAGCACUUGUAUUUUUAAGUGUUGCACCUCUUUUUCGUUGACCUUUGAUUCAUGUAUAUAUGUAAAUUAUAUUGAAAUGUAUCAUAGCAAAUGUGAAUACAUAACUCUAUGGUUGAUGUCUCUAUUGAUAUUGAUGUGUCUAUUAA